RNAcentral lists this long non-coding RNA (1313 nucleotides) under Bemisia tabaci. RNAcentral's name for it is "lncRNA ENSSSA1NGG000167". The record is from RNAcentral. Lineage: Eukaryota; Metazoa; Arthropoda; Insecta; Hemiptera; Aleyrodidae.
ACAGUUCCGUUUGACAGAAAUAGGUCCAUUUGACACUUGUCCAUGGUUGGAUUGAGUACAUACAUCCACAAGCUCAAGAAAAUUUUGCCGUCUAAAGGAAAAACUUCAAGUGAAAGACAUCAGUGAUUAAAUCACAGGAAAAUCUAAAAUUUUAAGGCGUCCUCUGAGAAGAUAUAUACAGUCUUGAACUUAGUUAGACACCGGUCUUACACUUAGUUUCAAAGAUGUAAUUUUGUCCCAAAAGGGUUUUGUAAGUAUGUUUUUCAAAAAAUUUUCCUCCUUUCUUAGCCGAUGAAUCGAGACCGAGAGAGACUCUAGUUGAGCAGAAUGUUGCUGAGCAGAAUAUCGCCGAGCAGAAUGAAGCUGAGCAGAAUGUCACCGAGCAGAAUGAAUCAUCGGAUGAAUUGGAAUCUAAUCCUACUAUUACAAUCGUCCAAGCAGAAAUUCAUGAGCCACCAAAUUCCAGGAUAGCUACACGCACUUCAGAAGCGGUCAAGCCUCCGUGUCUUGGAGGGUCUAUUGAACAUAUGGAUAAGAUAUGUGCAAAAGCCAAGAAGAAUGCUUCUCAUGCCGGUGCCAGCAAUUCAAGAGAGGUUGAAGCACAACCAAGGUCAGCUGACUCCGACAUUGAAAUCCUGGAACCUGAUAAUUCUCAUCAUGAUCCCGACUUCAGCAUAGAAGAUGAACCUACAGAUAUUUCUUCUGACUCUGGUGAUGGCAUUCAAAGAAUAACCAGUGGGAAGAAGACCGUUCAACCUCCCAAGGCGACAGUACCUAUUGCAACAACAAAAACCUCUGCAGCUGCAAAGCCUAUUAAGUCUGGCCCAAAGAAACCACCAGCCCUUGAGACAUCUGCAGCUCCCUCUUCAAAAAAAGGACGUGCACCCAAGAGAAGAUGGCCGGAAAGUACAACGAUGGACUCUUUUUUCUCCCGUAAAGCAGCUGCUUCUUCUCCUCCUGUUGCAUCUUCAAGCUCUACUGCUGGUCCAUCAGCUUCUGCUACUUCUGUAGCCUCUUCACGAGAGGAAGCUGCUGAGAACCCAGAUGAAAACUCAGACGAAUGUUACUCUAGUUCCGAGGAAGCAAGUACGCUCUCCAGGACAACGGAUAAGCGUAAGAAGUACACUUGUAAGUACUUAAAGAAGUGGGAGAAGCUAGAGGACUUCAAAGACUGGCUUACUCCAAGCCCUAAAGGCCGUCGAUAUUUCCAUUGUGCUUUUUGUCGUACUGACGUAUGUUUAGAAAAUAAAGGUCAAGGGGACCUCACCAGGCAUUCCAAAUCGAAAAAACAUCAAGGAAUAUUGGCCAACCGG